GUAGGGAAUCUUCCACAAUGGACGAAAGUCUGAUGGAGCAACGCCGCGUGAGUGAAGAAGGUCUUCGGAUCGUAAAACUCUGUUGUUAGAGAAGAACGUGCAUGAUAGUAACUGAUCAUGUAAUGACGGUAUCUAACCAGAAAGCCACGGCUAACUACGUGCCAGCAGCCGCGGUAAUACGUAGGUGGCAAGCGUUGUCCGGAUUUAUUGGGCGUAAAGGGAACGCAGGCGGUUUUUUAAGUGUGAUGUGAAAGCCUUCGGCUUAACCGAAGAAAAGCAUUGGAAACUGGAAGACUUGAGUGCAGAAGAGGAGGGUGGAAUUCCAUGUGUAGCGGUGAAAUGCGUAGAUAUAUGGAGGAACACCAGUGGCGAAAGCGGCUCUCUGGUCUGUAACUGACGCUGAGGUUCGAAAGCGUGGGUAGCAAACAGGAUUAGAAACCCUGGUAGUCC
Molecule: ribosomal RNA, 450 nt
Filed under: uncultured bacterium
Lineage: Bacteria
Description: partial 16S ribosomal RNA
Rfam family: Bacterial small subunit ribosomal RNA
Source: RNAcentral